Molecule: ribosomal RNA, 494 nt
Filed under: Pseudeurotium sp. UFMGCB 1668
Lineage: Eukaryota; Fungi; Ascomycota; Leotiomycetes; Thelebolales; Pseudeurotiaceae
Description: eukaryotic LSU rRNA
Rfam family: 5.8S ribosomal RNA (bases 163-316)
Source: RNAcentral
AAGAGACGUUGCCCUUCGGGGUAUACCUCCCACCCUUUGUUUAUUAUACCUUUGUUGCUUUGGCGGGCCCGUCCUCGGACCACCGGCUUCGGCUGGUCAGCGCCCGCCAGAGGACCUAAAACUCUGUUUGUUCAUAUUGUCUGAGUACUAUAUAAUAGUUAAAACUUUCAACAACGGAUCUCUUGGUUCUGGCAUCGAUGAAGAACGCAGCGAAAUGCGAUAAGUAAUGUGAAUUGCAGAAUUCAGUGAAUCAUCGAAUCUUUGAACGCACAUUGCGCCCCCUGGUAUUCCGGGGGGCAUGCCUGUUCGAGCGUCAUUACAACCCUCAAGCUCUGCUUGGUAUUGGGCUCUGCCGGUCCCGGCAGGCCUUAAAAUCAGUGGCGGUGCCAUUCGGCUUCAAGCGUAGUAAUUCUUCUCGCUUUGGAGGCCCGGGUGCGUGCUUGCCAGCAACCCCCAAUUUUUUCAGGUUGACCUCGGAUCAGGUAGGGAUACCC